This 253-nucleotide ribosomal RNA is filed under the name uncultured bacterium. RNAcentral describes it as "partial 16S ribosomal RNA". It matches the Rfam family "Bacterial small subunit ribosomal RNA", at positions 524 to 776 of the family's 1533-position model. The record is from RNAcentral.
UACGGGGGGGGCAAGCGUUGUUCGGAAUUACUGGGCGUAAAGGGCUCGUAGGCGGCCAACUAAGUCAUACGUGAAAUCCCUCAGCUUAACUGGGGAACUGCGUGUGAUACUGGAUGGCUUGGAUUUGGGAGAGGGAUGCGGAAUUCCAGGUGUAGCGGUGAAAUGCGUAGAUAUCUGGAGGAACACCGGUGGCGAAGGCGGCAUCCUGGACCAAUAUUGACGCUGAGGAGCGAAAGCCAGGGGAGCAAGCGGG